GAUCAUGGCUCAGGACGAACGCUGGCGGCGUGCCUAAUACAUGCAAGUAGAACGCUGAAGGAGGAGCUUGCUUCUCCGGAUGAGUUGCGAACGGGUGAGUAACGCGUAGGUAACCUGCCUGGUAGGCGGGGGAUAACUAUUGGAAACGAUAGCUAAUACCGCAUAACAGUAGAUAUUGCAUGAUAUCUGCUUGAAAGGUGCAAAUGCAUCACUACCAGAUGG
RNAcentral lists this ribosomal RNA (222 nucleotides) under uncultured bacterium. RNAcentral's name for it is "partial 16S ribosomal RNA". It matches the Rfam family "Bacterial small subunit ribosomal RNA", at positions 15 to 228 of the family's 1533-position model. The record is from RNAcentral.